Molecule: long non-coding RNA, 940 nt
Organism: Tigriopus californicus
Lineage: Eukaryota; Metazoa; Arthropoda; Copepoda; Harpacticoida; Harpacticidae
Exons: 2
Source: RefSeq, a predicted model, not a curated record
GGAUUGAAAUCAACUGACUCGUGUCUUUCCAGUCCCUCAACGACUUGCUCUAAAUGCUCAAUCAGUUGGGUAACCGUGCUAAAAUGUGCUCGGAACACGUGCUGGCUAGGAGGAAGGACUUCAUUGACUUCAAGCAACUCUACAAGUUUCAACUUCUCAAACACCCUUGCAAUAUUUGAAGUGAGAGAAAUCGGCCUAUAGUUACUGGGAAGCGACUUACCCUUUAGAAAUUGGAAAAACGUGAGCUAAUUUCAGUGAAGAGUGAAACUUGCCCUGAUCCAAGAUGCAACGUAUCAACUACGAGAAAAUAGGAGCAAGAACCAAGUUCGCAUGGGAGAAAAAAGCUUUCGGAUUCGACCUGACCUCCUGAACCACCUUAAUCUCAGUUUGUAACUGGUCAUUUUCGAUGGAGGCGGACCAGCAAUUCCGGCGACUUCAAGACUUAAAUCCCCCCAAAAUGAUUGCAAAUCAGUUAAAAUUUCAAGGGACGGGAAGUUUGGAUACUGCACCUUAAAUUCGACUAAUCUACGACGUGAGAAAAUCCUUCUUGCAAUGCAAGUUAAACACGUUUAUUAUUGAGAAAUAACGAACACCGGAAGAGAGAAAAUGUUCUCUUUACCACUUAUGUACUUGGCUUUCCACAUUGUCACUUGAAGCUUUCCCUCGAGGCUUUUCGAAUCGCAAAUUUAUUUUAAUGGAUUGUUAAUCAAAGCUUUUGAAUGGAAUUUUUAAUAUUCAGGGCUCGAGACUCUUCAAGAACAUUUAUGAUCAAACCUAAUAGCAAUCGCGUGCCAAAAUAGUUUUGUUAUCUACCAUAUGGUUAGAUUUUUGGAUGAUGUAUUUGGUUUGGGUGGAAGUGGUGGUUGCGUUGAUUAUAUCACCUACUGUAUGAACGGUUGAACUACUAGCAAUCUCAUCUUUGUCAAUCAAGAUAAGUUUC